UGUAUGUGUAUGUGUGUAUGUGCAUGUGUGUGUGUGUGUGUGUGUGUGUGUGUAUGUACUCUAUUUCAAUAGACAUGGGUUUUGUUCAGGCCCUUUUUUGAGGUCCAGUUCCUGGUGAACAACACUCAAGGCUUAGAUUGUUGUUUGUGUAUGUCACAACACCAAAGACUUGGCUUGCCAUUUCCAAGUUCCAGAUUCCAGCCGGACAGGCUGAGGUGAGGGUCAGGUAUGCCUGUUCAUGCUUUCUAACGCAUCCUGUUGUUAAUGCACGAUCCCUUGUCUUGUCAUCUAUGGUUCGACAUUUGCCCUUUUGCUAAACUGUGAGCCCGUGACCCUGAGUUUGAGUCCAGGGAAAGAACCUGCAGUUUUAUCACCAGGUCAUUAAGUUCUGAACUUUUUUACAUCAGCCACCUGUUCAAAAGCAGAUUCCUGGGCCUCACUCUGAAAGUCGUAGAGAGGCAACCCGGUACUGUUCUUAAAAAGGUCACCAGGGUUCUUCAUGGCAUGACCCACUGACAAAGACUACAGACCUCCCUGCUCAUGGUUAGAGUAAAAAAGCCUCUUGGUAAUCCCUCAUGUUUGGGACACCGUGUGAGGGUAGACUCCCCAGGGGUGUGGACCUAGUCAGUGAGUACUCAUGGAGACAGUGCUUGGAGCAGCUUGCUGGCUGUGGCCCCCCUGAUCCUGAGAAGUUCCUAGUGUUCAGUCAGCUGAAACUUCCUCCCUGUUCUGGGUCUGCUCACUGGCCUCUGCUGAGCUUUGACCUGUGUGCUAUGCAGGGAGACCAGACCAGAUAUGUCAUAACAAGGCACAGUCCAUAGCUGCAAGGGACCUGGAGCCUAGUUCAGAAGAUGGACAGUUAGGAGAGAAAUGUCACUGAGCCUGAGGUAUUUGAAACCAGGGAAUGAGGACGACUAAGCACUGUUAGGGAUGGAAACCAUGUGUGUAUGUGUAUGUGUGCAUGUGUGUAUGUGUGUGUAUAUGUGUAUGUAUAUGUAUGUGUAUAUGUGUAUAUGCAUGUAUAUGUAUGUGUGCAUUGUGCAUAUAUAUGAAUAUGUGUAUGUAUAUGUAUGUGUGCAUGUGUGGAUGUAUGUGGAUAUGUUGUAUGUAUGUAUAUGUGUAUGUAUAUGUAUGUGUGCAUAUAUAUGAAUAUGUGUAUGUAUAUGUAUGUGUGCAUGUGUGGAUGUAUGUGGAUAUGUUGUAUGUAUGUAUAUGUGUAUGUAUAUGUAUGUGUGCAUAUAUAUGAAUAUGUAUAUGUAUGUGUGCAUGUGUGCAUAUAUAUGAAUUUGUAUAUAUGUAUGUGUGCAUGUGUGGAUGUAUGUGGAUAUGUUGUAUGAUGUAUAUGUGUAUGUAUAUGUAUGUGUGUAUAUAUAUAUAUAUGUGUGUGUGUGCAUGUGUGUGUGUGUGUGUGUGUGUGUGUGUGUGUGAUAUGAAGGUUCCUGCAGGGAAACCUGGGAAGUGUGGGACUAAGGAGCUUGAUUCUCUCGGAUAGAUGGGUGUAUUGUCUAGGAUGGAGAAGGGACAGGCAGGUUGAGUUCAUUGGCCACAGGCUGGGUAUACUCUCCAAGGGACACUUGGACUCUACACAGGGAAAGGGGGAACCAGUUUGGGCUUGGGGAUGAUCACUUGUGGGUACCACAGCUUGUGAACGUGCAGUGUCUAUGUCCCUAGCACUGGGUUUAUAAGCACAUGCUACAUGGUUAGUUUUCUCUUUUAUCAGUUUGGGGUAUCAAGUCGGGUCCGCACAACUGCAAAUCACUUGAUGGACUGAGCUACUCCUACUUUAAACAACAAUAACAUCCAAAAGAACAAAGCCAGGCUUUGUGGCUUGGCUGUGACUUCACUACAUAGCUCAAGCUGGCCUCGAAGUCAGAGAUUGUCCUCGUGCGUGCUGAGAUUACAGGCCUGGAGUACUGCGCUCACAGGAAGCACGGUUGCUGUCACAGCCUGGCAUGCAUGUGUGUACACAUGUGUGUUGUAAAAAUAGUGUGUCCUGUUACUUUCUGUUUUAUCUAAAUCCUUUGUUUUAGAGCUGGUUGUAACCCACCAGCUCCAUAAUAGCUUAUGCUUCGUGUUAAAACAAACAAACAAAAACCAACCUCUCCCCCCAUCCCCCACACAAAUUAACAACAAAAACUGAGUGGUACAGCCCACUUUAGUUGAGUGGCAGAUUCGUGGUACAGCCCACUUUAGUUGCGUGGCAGAUUCGUGGUACAGCCCACUUUAGUUGAGUGGCAGAUUCGUGGUACAGCCCACUUUAGUUGAGUGGCAGAUUCGUGGUACAGCCCACUUUAGUUGAGUGGCAGAUUCGUGGUACAGCCACUUUAGUUGAGUGGCAGAUCCGUGGUACAGCCCACUUUAGUUGAGUGGCAGAUUCGUGGUACAGCCCACUUUAGUUGAGUGGCAGAUUCGUGGUACAGCCCACUUUAGUUGAGUGGCAGAUUCGUGGUACAGCCCACUUUAGCUGAGUGGCAGAUUCGUGGUACAGCCCACUUUAGUUGAGUGGUAGAUUCGUGGUACAGCCCACUUUAGUUGAGUGGCAGAUUCGUGGUACAGCCCACUUUUGAAUUUCCUUAUGCUCACUUACAUUUGAAACGCAGCGUUUCUCAAAGUACACUCCAUGUACGACCAUCACCGUUCCACCCGGAUUGCUCUCCACAGCAGUUCUGUGGGCAAGUACAUUUGGGAAACGAUAGUACACAUGGUAUGUGACAUGUCACAGUGUACUCGGCCUUGUUAGCGUUUGAGGUCUGCGUUGAUGGAGUUGAUUUUCUUUACACAUUUUAGCCACAGAACCACUUUACAUUUGGGCGAGCCCCUGCUCCCUUCCUCAGGGAACCCUGAUGUAUGAGAAAAACCACCAGUCAGGGCCCUUCUGUUUCACUUCCUCCACUGUCCUGCCCACCCCUGCUCCUGCGAGUCCAGGAAGGUCCUUGUGAAAUUGGGAGGGAGGGCCGCCGGAACACAUGCACAGUGACCCUGUUCCUACUUCCCAUAUCAAGUCCCAGAGAGAGUCCUGGAGUCUUUGGGGCGGGUAAUUGAACCCAGGGAAGGCCUCUCGCAUUCCAGGCAGGCUCACCACCAAGUUACAUCCUCAGCUCCACCUCGCCCUUUUUCGUUUGAGUCAGGGUCUCACCAAAUUGGCGGAACUGGUUUUUAAUUUGGUCCAGAGUGCAGUCAGGUCUUAAAUUUACAAUUUCUCGGGCCUCGAUUUCCCAAGUAGCCUCGUCAGCAGGCCUGGCCGCGUCUUACUUUCUCACUAGAUGAUGGCUCCUAGACGUCAUUUCCUGUUUGUACACAAAGAGCUUCCUUGCUCCUGCGGUCUCUCUGUGUGUGUCAUGAAUGUGUCAUUACACGUGGGUAGCCAUCUAGUGAUGACAUGGGCUGUUUCCAGGAGUUCUGCCAGAAAUGAGGCUGCAGUGAGUAACCAUGCAUCUAAGUGACUGAACAUGUGAGCGGGCAUGCAACAUAAAUCCUCACAAGUGGAGAUGCUCCCUCGAAGCCCAGCACUUCCUUAGGGCUUGAAGGGCACUGUCUGGUGACCCUCUGAGGUCCAGCUGGGAUCUCAAGAAGAGAUCUUGUUUGAUGUUUAAUCCCAACCGACUAUACACAUUGGCCCAGAACUCAGGAAGCAUGGAGUGCACCACUGGUCUGUCUUCAAACAGCUGUUUGACGUCAUCAGUGGCUGCUGACAGACAUGGUUUCUUCCAGGGACAGGCUCCCCCAUAAUUGUCCAGUCCCAAGUGGUCAGCACCAGACACAUUUGCUUGCCAGCAAUGUAUAAAUGGGUUUAUCAGGUUCUAUAUAUGUGUGUGUGUUUGUGUAUGUGUGCAUAAGUGUGUGUGUGUGUGUGUGUGUGUGUGUGUGUGUGUGUGUACAGUCAAAAAAGAAAAGGUUAUAAACUUAGACAGGGCAUGGGAGGAGUUGGCAGGAGGAGAGGGAGAGGCCAGGAUCGAUAUACACGCAGUGUUUAUCUAUGAAGCUCUCAAGGGGAAAAAAACCGUCAAAUGCAAGUAAAUCUUUACCCCAGCAACUGUUUGACUCAGCUAAUUUGUGUGCCCAAGUCAAGUCCUUCCACUCCUCUUUGUAAAUUGGAGCUUCUGAGCCCCACAGUUCAGAUGUGUCAUUGGCUUUCUCAGAGGUGAGUCGGGGCUUCUGUGAGCAUUGCUAUAUUCUUUAGAGACGAAGACUCUCUAUGCAGUCCAGGUCAGUGUGGUCCUCCUGCCUCAGCCUCCCUAGUGCUGAAGUGGCAGGUAUAACAGGUAUGUAACACCACACCCACUCAGCCACCACACCGGACUUGGCACUUUCUUGCAAAAUUAAUGAUGUAUUCUUUUGUCCCAAGACCAGCAAUCACAUCCAUUGGCGUUUUCACAAAUGAACCGAAAGUUUAUGUCCACACUGGAGUAUGUGCAUCCGGGUUUAUGGCAGCUUUAGUCCUUGUUGUACAAACCUGGAAGAAAACCGAGUGUCUGUAAAUGAGCUGAAGAAAAACCUGUCAUGUAUCCAGAGAGUGGAAUAGUAUUCAGCUCUGAAGGAAACAAGCUGUUUGGCCAUGAAAAGACAUGGAAGAAACAUGAAUUCACAGUGCUGGGUGGAAGAUGUCAAUCUGAAAAAGGUUCUGGACAGUGACGCCAGCCCUGCGGCCUUCUGGGAAAGGCACUGUUCUGGGAUUAUUAGAAGACUCAGUGUGGUUGCCAGGGAUUGGGGGGGCAGAGGGAUAUAUGAGGCACAGGGAAUUUUUCGGGCUGUGAAACUGUCCUGUCUGAUGUUCCAAUGGCGGGCACCUGACCACCACCAAAGCCCAAAGACUUUGUAAAACCAACCAUGAGCCCCAAUGUAGCCCUCAGACUUUGGAGGGUGAUGGUGUGUCCACGUAGUCCCAUCAAGUAUAAGGAAGGGGCCGCUCCGGUUGGGACAUUGACAGUGGCAAGGUGUGCAGGAGCCUUGUGGGAAAUCUUGGUGCCUUCGCUCAGUUUCAUGGACCUUGGGCUGGGUGUGGUGCUGCACACCAAUGGUCUGGGGAGAGGUAGGAGGAUCAUAGCAAAUUCAAGGCCACCCUGGGUCUACAUGGUGAGCUCCGGGUCACCUGGGCUACAUGACAGUAUCUUGUCUCAAAAACAAAAACAAAAACAAAAAAAGCAAAAAAAAAAAAAAAACCAGAAGUAAUUAAAAAAUGUUUGUAACUAAUUUUUAAUAGGGCCUUUAAUAAGGGCUUUAAUAAAUGUGAGACAUAUAUAUGUAAUUCAUCGACCACCAAGUUAGAUAUAACUCAAAUUGUAUGUAACUCACUUCUUAAAGAGGAGACCUUUCGGUGGAUUUUAGUAAACUCAGAAGGCUGCACAGCUGCCACCUGGUCCGAAACCGUUCCUGUCACUCCAGUGAAAUCCCACACCCGUCAUCAGUCUCCCUACCCCUGCGCUCUCCUUGCCGUGGUAGCCACACAUCUUCCUGUAGUUCUGGAUCUGCCCAGUCCAGACAUUGCCCGUGGAUGCAGGGGUGGGAGGACCAUGCCAGGACCCUAUAGACGCUUGUCCAAACCGUCAGAUAAUGAAGUCUCUCGUGUAAAAUGGGCUGAACCUGCAUUUACCUACACACACCCCUACCCCUGUGUACUCUAAUCAUACUUGCGUUAAUCAUGAUGCACAAUACACCAUUGAUACUCAUAAUCUUUUAAAAAAUUUUUAUUUAUAUGAGUACACUGCCGCUGUCUUCAGACACACCAGAAGAGGGCAUCGGAUCUCAUUACAGAUGGUUGUGAGCCACCAUGUGGUUGCUGGGAAUUGAACUCAGGACCUCUGGAAGAGCAGUCAGUGCUCUUAACCGCUGAGCCACCUCUCCAGAUGCUUAAAAUCUUAAACCUUUUUUUCGUUGUUUGGUUUGUUUUUUCUUUUUGAAGCAGGGCCUGCUAUACAGUCCAGAGUAGCCUCAAAUGGCCGCCAUUCCCUCCUCCACCCCGCAAGCACGGGACGGCACACAUGGCAGCACACGUUCGCGCCUGGCGACAGACGCUUAUCCCGUGUUUCCGUCCAGGGUUUUCUUGAGGCAGCUCCUAAGCCUCGAUCACCUGUGUUAAUUUUUCAUACGGUACGGAGGCGGAUCCGGUUUCGGUCUUCAGCAUACGGCUCUGUUUGCCCCAGGUCGUUAGCUGAAAGAUCUCCUUCUUUCCCUGUCGAGCAGCCCUGGCAUCCUGUUGAGAAUCAAUUGCCUCAACCGGGCGGAGUUCUGGCAGCCCCGCCCAAUCCUGCUGGUCUGUGGCUCUGUGUGCCCAUCCUCAGGUCGGUUCGCACGGUGCCGCCGAGGACCAUCGCUUCUGGCUGAAUGCCUCUCACUUCCUAUGGUCUCUUAGCUCCCCUGCCUUGACGCUCUGGUGCAAUGCUCAAUCAAGGUGGCACCAGCCGACGGCAGGCACUCGCUCCUGAGCUAAGCGGGGUAAGCUUUGCAUACUUCUGCCAUUAUUUGUGACUUUGGUUGUGUACUGUGUUGUUGUAAAUUUCCUAGGAACCGUGUUUAAAAAAGGCAAAGAUCAACAGAUGAUGUCACUACAGUUCAUUUAAGCCAGGAUAUCAUUCCUGUGUCACCAGUAUUAAAAGUCACUACGUCGUUUGCUCACCAAGUCUUUGAAACAAGGUCAUGGGUUAGACUCUCAUCAUAACUUCGUUCAGAGUCUCCACUCCAAGUGCUGGCUCCUUCCACGUCAGAUAGCACAGGCUUAGACUCUGCCUGACUCAACACGGUGACAGCCAGUGUUUACAGUUAACACGGCCCAGGUACUAAGACUUUAUUUAUGCAGUUUCAUUGGUGACCAUAGAAGGAGACGAAGCACCAAGAGUAACAAUUUUGCCCAAAUCAUCUGGCUAGGGACAAGUACAACUGGGAUUCCAACCUGGGAAGCCAGACUUCAGAGCUAGAACACUAUUUUGUUUUUCAAGAAUUUCAGUCAGACACGGUGGCGCACGCCUUUAGCCCCAGCACUCAGGAGGCAGAGGCAGGCAGAUCUCUGUGAGUUCCAGGUCAGCCCGGUCUUCAGAGCCAGUUCCAGGACAGCCGCAGAGCCACACAGUGAGACCCGUUUCAAAACAGAUAAACAGAAGGAUUUCAUUAUAGGGUUUAUUAAAUAAACUUUAAGUAGAUUAUUCUGGUUCUCUGAUUAAAAAUAAAAGUUCUUAAGAGAUAAA
Molecule: non-coding RNA, 7178 nt
Organism: Rattus norvegicus (Norway rat)
Lineage: Eukaryota; Metazoa; Chordata; Mammalia; Rodentia; Muridae
Source: RefSeq, a predicted model, not a curated record